CCUACGGGAGGCAGCAGUGGGGAAUAUUGCACAAUGGGGGAAACCCUGAUGCAGCGACGCCGCGUGAGUGAAGAAGUAUUUCGGUAUGUAAAGCUCUAUCAGCAGGGAAGAAAAUGACGGUACCUGAUUAAGAAGCGCCGGCUAACUACGAGCCAGCAGCCGCGGUAAUACGUAGGGGGCAAGCGUUAUCCGGAUUUACUGGGUGUAAAGGGAGCGUAGAGGGCAGCACAAGUCUGGAGUGAAAUGCCGGGGCUUAACCCCGGAACUGCGUUGGAAACUGGGCAGCUAGAGGGCAGGAGAGGUAAGUGGAAUUCGUAGUGUAGCGGUGAAAUGCGUAGAUAUUAGGAGGAACACCAGUGGAGAAGGCGGCUUACUGGACUGUAACUGACGUUGAGGCUCGAAAGCGUGGGGAGCAAACAGGAUUAGAUACCCGAGUAGUC
RNAcentral lists this ribosomal RNA (440 nucleotides) under uncultured bacterium. Its description in RNAcentral is "partial 16S ribosomal RNA". It matches the Rfam family "Bacterial small subunit ribosomal RNA", at positions 338 to 795 of the family's 1533-position model. The record is from RNAcentral.